CAGACUUUGACAAAAAGACAGACUGAAAUGAAAGUCAGUCAUCCAAAAUGGCUGCACCACCACAACAACAACAAGAAGAAGAACACCACAACUUGUCGCACCCAACCUGGUGCCGCUCACCUGUGACCAUGAAGUCGGUGAAGAAGAGGAUGCAGCAGCCGCAGAAGCCGAUGGGGCUGCGGGAGGUGGCCAGCGAGGGCAGGAAGAGGAGACUGCACACCAGUUUGAAGACGCACAGCAUCGACGCGCCAUCCAACACGCCGUCCAUGGCUGCGAGUACACACACAUCCACGCACCGGCAUCUGAAAACAGAUCAAUACUUCCAAAAGGGGUGAACCCUGGACCGUUAACACAACUUUGGAGCUUCACGUGCACACAAAAAAGCAUCAGCUGUCGGGAUGUGACUUAAUUAAUAAUAUAAAACGCAAUCCUGAGGGUGUGGCGCUGUGUGCACAGAACCUGUCCAACUAGCGGCUAACGCGCUCGGAGAUGAACUGGAAGAAAGAACGUGUGGAUGUCAAGACAAACAAUUC
Non-coding RNA from Nerophis lumbriciformis (worm pipefish), 533 nucleotides. The record is from RefSeq and is a predicted model, not a curated record. Lineage: Eukaryota; Metazoa; Chordata; Actinopteri; Syngnathiformes; Syngnathidae.